CCCCCCUCGACCCUCUCGACCCUCUCGCCACAUCGCGGCAACCAACACGGCAGGUAAAAACCAAACACGGCCUCUGCCCAACUGCCGUGAACCAGAGAGCCAGCGCGUGACGGACGAGCGACGACUCCCUCGGCAGGAGCCACUCGCUGCGCCACGCGACUUUGUCGCCGCCGAGACGACCCGAGUUGUCCCGUUCGGACAACGCUGGCUGAGCGAAGCGUGCACGAGCGAUUGAAUCCUCCCCUCCGGUCAACGGUCAAAGCGCCCACGAGGACAACAGCAAUAACAACAACACCGCCGCCAAUGGAAAUGAUGGCUGGGGAACAAAAGCGAGCGACAUCGUAAAAUAGGCAGCCAAGUCAGUGGCCGCGACGAAAACGAAGGGAAGCUCAAUUUGUGUCAGUGAUCAGAGCCUGGUCCACUGUAGUACAGUACAUCUUCAUUCAAGGUCCGAUGGUAAAUUAUUGCCCGUGGUGAAGGCUGUUCCGGCAGCAGUGUUUUGAGAGGACUAACGCGAGACACUGGAUGCCUGCACACAUGUGCAUCUCAGUGACAUUGUUACGGCACUCAUCAAGAAAGCGCCCUUCACUUCUCGGCUUGGAGAAAAAAAAACAUGCACACAGCCGCACGUCGCCCGCCGGCUCCUCGUCGGUUCGCCCGGGACAACAAAAAAAUCCCGGCCGCUCACGCUCUUAUGGGGCGGACCACCAUGGUACUCCACCGCG
Molecule: long non-coding RNA, 725 nt
Organism: Lethenteron reissneri (Far Eastern brook lamprey)
Lineage: Eukaryota; Metazoa; Chordata; Hyperoartia; Petromyzontiformes; Petromyzontidae
Source: RefSeq, a predicted model, not a curated record